UUUCACCGAGCCCAGCCACAACGGCCUGCCCGCGGGCCGCUCCCGACCGUAGGUCGCCAACAGGGCCUGUGCCUC
This 75-nucleotide antisense RNA is filed under the name Actinoalloteichus hoggarensis. Its description in RNAcentral is "ASpks TB sRNA". It matches the Rfam family "ASpks TB sRNA". Lineage: Bacteria; Bacillati; Actinomycetota; Actinomycetes; Pseudonocardiales; Pseudonocardiaceae. The record is from Rfam by way of RNAcentral.